GUAGUAGUGUCUGGGGGAGAGCUGCGAGUAGGUGGAGUCCCGCUUGGAGCGGGUCAGCGGCUUGAGGAAGGACACGCGCUGGCUCAGGCUGUCGGCGCCCUCCUCGUAGUACAGCGCCGGGAAGCUGUGCCGGUGCUCGCUGCAGUGGAAGGCGGGCUUCACCUCCAGGUGGUGGAUGCCGCCGCCGCCGCUGCCCGCCGGCACCAGCGGGAGCCGGUCCAGCGGGCUGUUGAGGGGGCUGCCCUUCUCGAUGUACUUGGAGUCGCCCUUGGCCAGCCCCGCGGCGGCAGGGUGGUCGGGCACGUCCAGGCUGAAGACCUUGGCGCUCUUGAUGGAGCCGCUGGACGACACGCUGCAGGUCUUGCGGGCCACGGCGGCGUCGGCGCUCAGCUGGCGCUGGAGCGGGUGGUGGGAGCUCUCCUUGUACGGGGGCGAGAGGAAGCUGGGCCGCUCCAGCGCCCCAGGGGGGGCGGCCGAGGCGGCGGCGGCGGCGGCGGCCGCGGGGAGGGACUGGCACUCGAAGGCCAGCUCGGGGUCCCCGCUGCCGCCGCCACCCCCCAGAAACGAGGCCGAGUCCAGCUUCAGGGCAUCGAUGCAGUUGUUAAUGAUCUGGUUGACCUUGUCCACCUCCUUGGCGAUGGUGGAGAUCUCGGCGGCCGAGCCCUGGCCGUUCUCCAGGUCCGGGAGGUCAUCCUCAGGCCGGGCCAGGCCAUCCCCACCCGCGCCUGUGCGCACCUCGAUGUAGUUGCCCUUGGUGGCCACCUUGGGGGUGUCCAGCCCAGCCUCCAGCCCCUUGGAGGUGGGCAGCUUCUCCCCAAUCAUGGAGGGGAUGGAGGACAUACAGGACACGGGCAGCACGGGAGGUUCGCCCAGCUUCUGGGCGGCGUGGACCACAGAGCCGGCAUCCACAUCCGCCCCGUAGCGCAUCUCCAGUAUGGUCUUCUUGACCUUGACCGACUUCUGCUUCUCCUCCUGCAUGCGCCGCUUGCGCAGGCAGUAGUAGACGGCGCCCAGCACGAUGACCAUGCCGAAGAGGCAGCCCAGGAUGGUCAUGAUGUAGUGGGUGGUGGUGGAGGUGCUGGGCGCCAGGUCGCCCGGGACGGGGUCCCGCGUGGUGAAGGUCAAGCAGGUGUGGUUGAAGCGGCGGCUGUUGCGCAGCGAGGUCACGCAGAAGGUGUACUCGGUGUGCGCCCGCAGCUUGUCGAGCGUGACGAUCUCCUUCUUGUUCUUGAGCGUCAUGACGUCGGAGAAGUAGCUGUUGUUGUACUGGACCAGGACAUACAUCUUGCUGUAGGGGUGCGGGAUGAUGACCACCAGGGUGGCCGAAGUGAAGGUGACGUGGUGCAGCUUGAUGGCGGGCCCCGCCGAUGCAUCUGUGGUGGACGAGGCCGGGGGCUCCACCGAAAGGAUCUCGUCGGGGUUGAAGCCCGAGUUCUCAUCGGGCUCCCUCUGGGCGUCGGUGGAGUAGGGCGUGGGGUGGCUCGCAGGCCGGGCGGGCAACGAGCCGUUGCGGCACUUGGCCUGGAGCACGGUGAUGGCGUUGAGGCUGUGAUAGGGCCGGGGCACCAGCAGCGGGUAGCCGGCGAACUCGCGUGGGGACUCGCACUGCAGCCGGUCGUAGUUCUUGGUGACAUUGUUGAAGACCACCAGCCAGGCGAGGAAGCCGAAGAGGUCACACUCACAGUUGAAGGGGUUGCCGGCCAGCUCGCACACCAUGAGACUGGCCAGGCUGGCGAAGGUGGCGCCGUCCAGGCGGCUGAGGCGGUUGGAGGACAGGUCGAUGCUGAUGAGGCUCGGGCACUCAGAGAAGGCGGCGGGCGUCACCACCUCGAUGAGGUUGUGCUGCAGGAAGAGGAACUGCAGGCGGCCCAUGCCGCGCAGCAUGCCCUCCGUCAGGUUGCUGAGCUUGUUGUACCCAAGCUGCAGCACCUGCAGGCUCGACUGGCCCAGGAAGGCGCCGUCCUCGAUGUCGUGCACGGUGCUGUUGAUGUGCUGCGGGAUGGUCUCAUAGGGCGGCUGGUUCUGGCUGCAGAUGGCCAGCCACACGUACCCCUUGUCGCCCUCGAUGAGCCAGCAGUCGGCGCGCACGGCGCCCGGCCGGCACACGCACAGCAGCGCGGCGGCGCACAGCCCCAGGCGCAGCAUGACACCGGCCGUGGCCCCCCUGGAAGGCCGGGCUUGGGGCUCAAACUUCAGACGAUUCCCACGAUUCCCACAGGAGGCUGGAGAAUGAAGCUCUGA
RNAcentral lists this long non-coding RNA (2241 nucleotides) under Canis lupus familiaris (dog). RNAcentral describes it as "lncRNA (ENSCAFG00040009980.1)". Lineage: Eukaryota; Metazoa; Chordata; Mammalia; Carnivora; Canidae. The record is from RNAcentral.